GACGAACGCUGGCGGCGUGCUUAAUACAUGCAAGUAGAACGCUGAAGGAGGAGCUUGCUUCUCUGGAUGAGUUGCGAACGGGUGAGUAACGCGUAGGUAACCUGCCUGGUAGCGGGGGAUAACUAUUGGAAACGAUAGCUAAUACCGCAUAAGAGUAGAUGUCGCAUGACAUUUGCUUAAAAGGUGCAAUUGCAUCACUACCAGAUGGACCUGCGUUGUAUUAGCUAGUUGGUGAGGUAACGGCUCACCAAGGCAACGAUACAUAGCCGACCUGAGAGGGUGAUCGGCCACACUGGGACUGAGACACGGCCCAGACUCCUACGGGAGGCAGCAGUAGGGAAUCUUCGGCAAUGGACGGAAGUCUGACCGAGCAACGCCGCGUGAGUGAAGAAGGUUUUCGGAUCGUAAAGCUCUGUUGUAAGAGAAGAACGAGUGUGAGAGUGGAAAGUUCACACUGUGACGGUAUCUUACCAGAAAGGGACGGCUAACUACGUG
RNAcentral lists this ribosomal RNA (495 nucleotides) under uncultured bacterium. RNAcentral's name for it is "partial 16S ribosomal RNA". It matches the Rfam family "Bacterial small subunit ribosomal RNA", at positions 28 to 507 of the family's 1533-position model. The record is from RNAcentral.